Molecule: long non-coding RNA, 703 nt
Organism: Diceros bicornis minor
Lineage: Eukaryota; Metazoa; Chordata; Mammalia; Perissodactyla; Rhinocerotidae
Exons: 4
Source: RefSeq, a predicted model, not a curated record
AUUUCAAUUUUUUUUGGAGUAUGUUAUCAAGUGUCAUGCCUGGGGGAAAGCCUGGCUGUCUAUGCAGAGGCUCUGGAAGAGAAAUUAGGUUGCUGACUGGCUGGAGAUAAUUUGCUCUGUGUAAUUCUGAAGACAUCAUUUCAGUGAAGAUCUCUUCUUGUAAUUCUUCAAGACGUUUUUCUUUGAGGGGAUCAUGCUAACAAAAUGGAAAAAUGCUUCUGACAUCUAAAAGAGUAUCUUUGCCAUCCAUCCUUUUGUUGUAGUUGAUGAUUGGUUGAUGGGAUUAAUAAUGUGUACUAGAAUAAAAGAGAUAAAGGUGGCUAAAUCAGCGACCCUGAAAUUCCAUGACCAGCCAGAGAGGGGUUUUAGUCCUUACAAUACCACUUUCUUAGUCCAGAAUCUCAUCAUUUGUAACUUUGAUCUACACAACCUCUUUUUGCCACAAGAUCCAAAGGAAAUAUGGAAAAUAAAGGUAAGUAAAAAAGAUGAACAAUUUUUUCGUGAUUAACCCCACUCUAAAAAAAAGAAAAAAAAAAACCCAUAUUAAUCAAGAACUGAAAUUCUAGACCAACCGAUCUAGUAGUUUUGAGAGGAGGGGAUUGAGAGAGAUAGACCAGAAGCAGGUGAGAGCAGGCUACGGUUCUGCAUUUUGAAUUAUAUCCCUAAUGGUGUCUGUCUGUGUGUGUGCGCGUGUGUGUGUGUA